GCUAUUUAGGUAGCGCCUCGUGCGAACAUUCCUGGGGGUAGAGCACUGUUAUGGCUAGGGGGUCAUUGAGACUUACCAAACCAUGGCAAACUCCGAAUACCAGGACAUGCUACACGGGAGACACACGGCGGGUGCUAACGUCCGUCGUGAAAAGGGAAACAACCCAGACCCGCAGCUAAGGUCCCAAAGUCAUAGCUAAGUGGAAAACGAUGUGGAAAGGCAUAGACAGCCAGGAGGUUGGCUUAGAAGCAGCCACCCUUUAAAGAAAGCGUAAUAGCUCACUGGUCGAGUCGGUCUGCGCGGAAGAUUUAACGGGGCUAAGCUAUGCACCGAAGCUCGGGGUGUACAGAUUUUGAUCUGUACGCGGUAGAGGAGCGUUCCGUAGGCCUGUGAAGGUGGAUUGUAAAGUCUGCUGGAGGUAUCGGAAGUGCGAAUGCUGACAUGAGUAACGAUAAAGGGGGUGAAAAGCCCCCUCGCCGAAAGCCCAAGGUUUCCUCGCGCAACGUUCAUCGGCGCAGGGUGAGUCGGCCCCUAAGGCGAGGCAGAAAUGCGUAGUCGAUGGGAAGCAGGUUAAUAUUCCUGCACUUUUCUAUAGUGCGAUGUGGGGACGGAGAAGGUUAGGUCUACCAGGCGUUGGUUGUCCUGGGGAAAGGCGGUAGGCAUGUGUCUUAGGCAAAUCCGGGACACUCUAUGCCGAGCACCGAGACGAGUCCUAUGAGGACGAAGUGACUGACACCACGCUUCCAGGAAAAGCCACUAAGCUUCAGCUAUAGAAAAACCGUACCGUAAACCGACACUGGUAGGCAGGGUGAGAAUCCCAAGGCGCUUGAGAGAACUCGGGUGAAGGAACUAGGCAAAAUGGCACCGUAACUUCGGGAGAAGGUGCGCCCCUUGGUGUGGUCACGUGCGUGACUGAGCACCGAGGGGUCGCAGUAACCUGGCCGCUGCGACUGUUUAUCAAAAACACAGCACUCUGCAAACACGAAAGUGGACGUAUAGGGUGUGACGCCUGCCCGGUGCUGGAAGGUUAAUUGAUGGGGUCAGCCGCAAGGCGAAGCUCUUGAUCGAAGCCCCAGUAAACGGCGGCCGUAACAAUAACGGUCCUAAGGUAGCGAAAUUCCUUGUCGGGUAAGUUCCGACCUGCACGAAUGG
Molecule: ribosomal RNA, 1152 nt
Filed under: Lomandra longifolia
Lineage: Eukaryota; Viridiplantae; Streptophyta; Magnoliopsida; Asparagales; Asparagaceae
Description: bacterial LSU rRNA
Rfam family: Bacterial large subunit ribosomal RNA
Source: RNAcentral